RNAcentral lists this ribosomal RNA (324 nucleotides) under uncultured eukaryote. RNAcentral describes it as "partial 18S ribosomal RNA". It matches the Rfam family "Eukaryotic small subunit ribosomal RNA", at positions 1470 to 1796 of the family's 1831-position model. The record is from RNAcentral.
CCCUUAGAUGUCCUGGGCUGCACGCGCGCUACACUUAUGUGUCCAGUAAGCACCUAACCUAUUCCGAGAGGAGCGGGUAACCUUAGCAAAGCACAUCGUGAUGGGGAUAGAUUAUUGCAAUUAUUAGUCUUGAACGAGGAAUUCCUAGUAAGCACAAGUCAUCAGCUUGUGUUGAUUACGUCCCUGCCCUUUGUACACACCGCCCGUCGCUCCUACCGAUUGAAUGUUCCGGUGAGCUCUUCGGACUGCGCGGUCUGCAGUUUCUGCGUUCCGUGCGGAAAGUUGUGCAAACCUUAACAUUUAGAGGAAGGAGAAGUCGUAACA